RNAcentral lists this ribosomal RNA (578 nucleotides) under Proteus mirabilis. Its description in RNAcentral is "partial 23S ribosomal RNA". It matches the Rfam family "Bacterial large subunit ribosomal RNA", at positions 2221 to 2798 of the family's 2925-position model. The record is from RNAcentral. Lineage: Bacteria; Pseudomonadati; Pseudomonadota; Gammaproteobacteria; Enterobacterales; Morganellaceae.
UCUAACCUAGGCCCAUAAACUGGGUCGGGGACCGUGUCUGGUGGGUAGUUUGACUGGGGCGGUCUCCUCCUAAAGAGUAACGGAGGAGCACGAAGGUUGGCUAAGCAUGGUCGGACAUCAUGCGGUUAGUGCAAAGGCAUAAGCCAGCUUGACUGCGAGAGUGACGGCUCGAGCAGGUACGAAAGUAGGUCUUAGUGAUCCGGUGGUUCUGAAUGGAAGGGCCAUCGCUCAACGGAUAAAAGGUACUCCGGGGAUAACAGGCUGAUACCGCCCAAGAGUUCAUAUCGACGGCGGUGUUUGGCACCUCGAUGUCGGCUCAUCACAUCCUGGGGCUGAAGUAGGUCCCAAGGGUAUGGCUGUUCGCCAUUUAAAGUGGUACGCGAGCUGGGUUUAGAACGUCGUGAGACAGUUCGGUCCCUAUCUGCCGUGGGCGUUGGAAGAUUGAGAGGGGUUGCUCCUAGUACGAGAGGACCGGAGUGAACGCACCACUGGUGUUCGGGUUGUCAUGCCAAUGGCAUUGCCCGGUAGCUAAGUGCGGAAGAGAUAACCGCUGAAAGCAUCUAAGCGGGAAACUUGCC